UACGUAGGGUGCGAGCGUUAAUCGGAAUUACUGGGCGUAAAGCGUGCGCAGGCGGUUUUAUAAGCCAGAUGUGAAAGCCCCGGGCUCAACCUGGGAAUGGCAUUUGGGACUGUAAGGCUGGAGUAUGGCAGAGGAGACUAGAAUUCCUGGUGUAGCAGUGAAAUGCGUAGAUAUCAAGUGGAACACCAGUGGCGAAGGCGAGUCUCUGGACAAUUCCUGACGCUGAGGCACGAAAGCCAGGGGAGCAAACGGG
This 253-nucleotide ribosomal RNA is filed under the name uncultured bacterium. Its description in RNAcentral is "partial 16S ribosomal RNA". It matches the Rfam family "Bacterial small subunit ribosomal RNA", at positions 524 to 776 of the family's 1533-position model. The record is from RNAcentral.